UGGUUUAUGUCAGUUUGGAGUGCUAUUAGCACUACCCUAUGUACCUUCCCGGUUUUGGAAUACUUGGCUUGGAUACUUGGAAUUAUGGAAUACUUGGAUAUGUCGAAACUCGGGCACCCUUGAUGGGGUGUUUCAUAGACCCUUAGUGGGGUUAGUCUUCCCACGUAGGACUUGUCACAGGUGUACGAGUAUUAAGGAUUCUGCUAUGCGUGCUAGUGAGCCCAGUCCCCCGAUUAGAUGGCUUGAUCCCUAGCCACAUGGUCAAUUGAGGAUUCUAUCAUGUGGUCUAGUCAAACAAUCCCUUGGUUGGAUUGUUUUCCCAGUACAAGUUUGGUAGUGGUCAUACUUAUAUAUAUAUACCCACACACACACAUAUACCUUCGUUCUUGUUUAUCGAUGAGGAUCCUUCCUCGCUCACGGAGCCAAUGGGCACGAGUUUUAGGUGAGUGGUUUGAGAAAAAGGGAAGGGUGUUGAGUGAGUUUGAGUAAUAGUAUACUAUUAUGAGAUAUGGUUCUUAACUUUGUUUUAAUGGACUAUAUAUGAAUAUAUCGGGUUUCAAUUGCAUGUUUUCUACAUCGUUUUCCAAAUGGUGG
This 594-nucleotide long non-coding RNA is filed under the name Prunus persica (peach). RNAcentral's name for it is "long non-coding RNA (PPER_LNC003607)". The record is from RNAcentral. Lineage: Eukaryota; Viridiplantae; Streptophyta; Magnoliopsida; Rosales; Rosaceae.